RNAcentral lists this ribosomal RNA (501 nucleotides) under uncultured bacterium. RNAcentral's name for it is "bacterial SSU rRNA". It matches the Rfam family "Bacterial small subunit ribosomal RNA", at positions 28 to 520 of the family's 1533-position model. The record is from RNAcentral.
GAUGAACGCUAGCUACAGGCUUAACACAUGCAAGUCGAGGGGCAGCAUGUCGGUUGCUUGCAACCGAUGAUGGCGACCGGCGCACGGGUGAGUAACGCGUAUCCAACCUACCCUUGUCCAUCGGAUAACCCGUCGAAAGGCGGCCUAACACGAUAUGCGGUUCACCGCAGGCAUCUAAGGUGAACGAAAUGUGAAGGAGAAGGAUGGGGAUGCGUCUGAUUAGCUUGUUGGCGGGGUAACGGCCCACCAAGGCGACGAUCAGUAGGGGUUCUGAGAGGAAGGUCCCCCACAUUGGAACUGAGACACGGUCCAAACUCCUACGGGAGGCAGCAGUGAGGAAUAUUGGUCAAUGGACGGGAGUCUGAACCAGCCAAGUAGCGUGCAGGAUGACGGCCCUAUGGGUUGUAAACUGCUUUUAUAGGGGGAUAAAGUGUGCCACGUGUGGCAUAUUGCAGGUACCCUAUGAAUAAGGACGGCUAAUUCCGUGCCAGCAGCCGACGG